AAGUGCAGCCAUGGAACGCUGCCAAGAGACCGGCGCGUUUACGCACCUCGACGUACCUUGGUCUUCGUCGCCUCUUUUUGCAUCUUCCCGAGCGGCCUAAGAGGUCCGGUACAGCCGACGCCGCGGUUUGUCGAAGAAAUGCCGGGUUAACAUCUUCGCCGUCAUGACAGGCUUCAAGCCGAUUCCUCUUUGGAAUCUUGAAAUCAGACCUACGGAAGUCCUGGGAAAGCGCGGUAGCGGCAGCGAAGGAAGUAGCUGUAUCUCGGAGUCGUAUAUCCUACGGCGCAGAACACAAGCCACUUCCUGCGCUGCCCAGCCCCGCCCCGUCCGGCCUGGUAUUCGCGAGGAACUGACCUGGGGUUCUGGACUCGGCUCGCGUUCGAACGCGCGCCUUUUUCGUCUGCACUCUUCGACGCCGGAUUGAUGGGCGGGAUAAUCUGAAAAUGACAGACAUGGGAAGAGAGGGCGGAGACGAAGACAGUGGCGACGCAGCUCCCAAACUCAAGCCAAACGUCCACUACGCCAAGUCCAGGAACGGCGUGUUGUCCAUCAUCGAAAUGAUACUGAGCCUGCUGGCCUUCAUCAGCGUGGAGUCAGUGGCAGAGUGCAGAGGACACUUCAACUGUGCUCCCCCGGGCUACCUGCAUUCCUAUAGAUUCUUUGCUUUCGUCACCUUUACCUCCUUCAUCUUGACGGGUGCCAUCUUCGCAGCGCGCAUGUUGGGGACCACAGAGAGAGUGCCAUUGCCCGUCAAAUACAGGCUCUUUGCGGAAUGCCUGUACCUUGCCAUCACCAUCGUCCUGUACUUCUUCGCCAAUGCUUUUAUGAUUGCGCAUCAUGGCAAUAGGCUUGGAUACCAAUGCGCUGCUGUGUUCGGUGUUGUUGCCAUGGCUUUUUACUGCAUCCAGCUGGCCAUGUACCUCGGAGAAUACCAGUUCUCGGAGGUGUUACCAUUCCGAGCCGCCCAGGCCAAGGAAAAUCAACACGGAGACGAUAAUGGUUCCAGGCUCUCGUGGGAAGCACCGCCGGGCGUCAAUAACUCUGAUGGACAAGACAGUGGGUCCAACUUGGGCCCCGUUGUCCUAAGGCCUCGGCGAAACUCUGUCGACUCCAGGUCCGUUAGUCCAAAUUUAAAAGUGGACAGGAUUGACCGUACAGAAUCCGCCAAAACUUCACGAAGUGUCUCUAGAAAUUCGGAGUGUGCUGAAACAGCAAGCAUUAAUAGCAGCAACUUUGUCUCCGUGGAUCUUGAUGGAGUUACAAGUGCACCUCGCAGCAAUACCAUUGCAACAUGACUUGCAGCCUCCAUCAUGUGGAGUGCUAUUAGUCUGUGAUACAUAUUUGUAUUUAAGCUGGUUGAUGGUUACAGUAUGGUGCUUGGGGAGGGAGGGAGAUAUCAGACUUCCAAUGGGGUGGUCCUCUGACCCCUGGACAGAUCACCCAGUGCAAGGCCAUUUGAGCAUGUGGCCAUCUUAGUAUGUCCAGGGUUAUGCUAGUAGUGUUCCAAGUUUACUCAUGUGCAUGUCCAUUACAUGUUCCUGGGUUGAUGUCUGCUAUUCACAAUGUUCUUUCAAAGUGAUCGAGUCAUUGAAAACAUUUUCUGUUUGGUAUACAUUCUAUUGAACCCUGCAUGUCAUGAUUGUUUUUUUUCUGAAUUUUUACUGUUGCCAUACCAUAAUUUCCUUCCCUACAGUUCUCUAUUCUUAAAUGUUAUCAGCCUUACUUUUGAGUGCUUUGAUCAGUGUCUUGGUUUUAAUCUGUGAUGUCAAUAAUGGUUUACACAAAUUUCAAGGCCAAAUGUUUUGUAAUGAUUGUCACAAUAAAUAAUUUGUGGCUGGACCACAAAAAAUAGGCA
This is an RNA transcript of Ixodes scapularis (black-legged tick), 1855 nucleotides long. RefSeq lists it as uncharacterized. The record is from RefSeq and is a predicted model, not a curated record. NCBI's taxonomy places the organism in Eukaryota, Metazoa, Arthropoda, Arachnida, Ixodida, Ixodidae. The transcript has 6 exons.